UUUUUUUUAAAAAAAAUGCUUUUUGGACAUUGGGAGCUGCCGGCCACUCAUUGGUGGGCUCUUCUGAAAUGCAUUAGUUGGAGGAGCUUUGCAACUCUGUUGGUGUGAUAGACUAUCUAUGCCAGGAGAUGCUUUUAUGGAUCCUCUGCUAUCUAACCGUCCUUUGUUUGGACAACAUGAUAAACUUGACCUCAAAUCAGGUAGGACUACCCGCUGAACUUAAGCAUAUCAAUAAGCGGAGGAAAAGAAACUAACAAGGAUUCCCUUAGUAACUGCGAGUGAAGAGGGAAAAGCUCAAAUUUAAAAUCUGGCAGUGUUUCAUUGUCCGAGUUGUAACCUAGAGAAGUGUAACCUGUGCUGGACCGUGUAUAAGUCUCCUGGAAUGGAGCAUCACAGAGGGUGAGAAUCCCGUCUUUGACACGGACUACCAGUGCAUUGUGGUUGCGCUCUCAACGAGUCGAGUUGUUUGGGAAUGCAGCUCUAAAUGGGUGGUAAAUUCCAUCUAAAGCUAAAUAUUGGCGAGAGACCGAUAGCGAACAAGUACCGUGAGGGAAAGAUGAAAAGAACUUUGGAAAGAGAGUUAAACAGUAUGUGAAAUUGUUGAAAGGGAAACGUUUGAAGUCAGUCGCGUUGGCCGGGGAUCAGCCUGACAUUGUUGGGUGUACUUCCUGGUUGACGGGCCAACAUCAGUUUUGACUGCCAGAAAAAGGCGAGGGGAAUGUGGCACCUUUGGGUGUGUUAUAGCCCUUGGUCGUAUAUGGCGGUUGGGACUGAGGAAAGCAGCGCGCCGAAAGGCCGGGUUUCGACCACGUCGCGCUAGGA
This 822-nucleotide ribosomal RNA is filed under the name uncultured Amanita. RNAcentral's name for it is "eukaryotic LSU rRNA". The stretch from base 187 to 822 matches the Rfam family "Eukaryotic large subunit ribosomal RNA", at positions 1 to 605 of the family's 3401-position model. The record is from RNAcentral. Lineage: Eukaryota; Fungi; Basidiomycota; Agaricomycetes; Agaricales; Amanitaceae.